GGGUGAUUGGCUCAGCUGGGAGAGCAUCUGCCUUACAAGCAGAGGGUCGGCGGUUCGAUCCCGUCAUCACCCACCA
RNAcentral lists this transfer RNA (76 nucleotides) under Pseudomonas aeruginosa. Its description in RNAcentral is "tRNA-Val". It matches the Rfam family "tRNA". From Rfam's summary of the family: Transfer RNA (tRNA) molecules are approximately 80 nucleotides in length. Their secondary structure includes four short double-helical elements and three loops (D, anti-codon, and T loops). The record is from RNAcentral. Lineage: Bacteria; Pseudomonadati; Pseudomonadota; Gammaproteobacteria; Pseudomonadales; Pseudomonadaceae. RNAcentral also lists the same sequence under 1 other name.